This 539-nucleotide ribosomal RNA is filed under the name uncultured eukaryote. RNAcentral describes it as "SSU rRNA". It matches the Rfam family "Eukaryotic small subunit ribosomal RNA", at positions 13 to 567 of the family's 1831-position model. The record is from RNAcentral.
UCUGCCAGUAGUCAUACGCUCAUCUCAAAGACUAAGCCAUGCAUGUCUAAGUCUAAAUAUAUCACUGUGCAACUGCGAAUGGCUCAUUAUAUCAGUUAUAGUCAAUUUGAUAGUCCCUUACUACUUGGAUAACCGUAGUAAUUCUAGAGCUAAUACAUGCGUUAACACCCAUCUAGGGUGGUAUUUAUUAGGUAGAAACCAGCCCCUUCGGGGUGAUGUGGUGAUUCAUAAUAAGCAUGCGGAUCGCACGUUCAUCGUGCGACGGAUCAUUCAUGUUUCUGCCCUAUCAGCUUUGGACGGUAAGGUAUUGGCUUACCGUGGCUUUAAUGGGUAACGGGGAAUUAGGGUUCGGUUCCGGAGAGGGAGCCUGAGAGAUGGCUACCACAUCCAAGGAAGGCAGCAGGCGCGUAAAUUACCCAAUCUUGACACAAGGAGGUAGUGACAAUAAAUAACAAUACCGGGCCUCUCGAGGUCUGGCAAUUGGAAUGAGAACAAUUUAAAUCACUUAUUGAGUAUCAAUUGGAGGGCAAGUCUGGUCC